Alosa alosa (allis shad) is the source of this 111-nucleotide long non-coding RNA. RefSeq lists it as uncharacterized. The transcript has 3 exons. NCBI's taxonomy places the organism in Eukaryota, Metazoa, Chordata, Actinopteri, Clupeiformes, Clupeidae. The record is from RefSeq and is a predicted model, not a curated record.
UGUAGGUUAUUAGGUUAUUUGCCAUGCUGAUUUGGUUCAUGUUGGUUUGUGUAGGUUAUUAGGUUAUUUGCCAUGCUGAUUUGGUUUAUGUUGGUUUGUGUAGGUUAUUUG